GGUUCGUGGGAAAAGAAGGGGGGAAAGUGUGGUCAACGGGAAAGUAAUGAGAUGCCUCUUGUUUGGUUGGAGUUUUCAAAGAAAAGAGAUAGAAAAGUUGUAUUCCCAUGGGAAUAUGAUUCUCACAUUUCAUGGGAAAGUCUUUUCCAUGAGAAACAUGGGAAAGUCUUUUCCAUGAGAAACAUGGAAAAGUUACUUUUCCAUGAGGCGGAAAUUACUUUAUUUUUAUUUUUUUCAAAAAGGCCCUUCAGCAUUAAAGAAGCAUUAAAGAGGCAUUAAAGACCUAAUUUUUAUUAAGGGCAUAAUAGGAAUUAUACAUAACUUUUCCAGGAAAGUGGAUGGCCAAUUAAACAUAAGCACUUUGGAAAUUUGUCACUUUCCCAUGAUCAACCAAACAUGCCAAAAAUACUUUCCUAGGCAUCCUCUUCCUAGGAAUUUGUUUCCCAGGAAUCAUAUUCCUAGGAGGAAAAAUGCUUCCCGUGAACCAAACGAGCCCUAAGGAAUUAUGUUUGUAGUUUCUCACUUUGAUAAAUUUGCUAUGCUCAAAAUCUGAUUCACCUUCAAUAUGGUUUUGCAAUCUCUUGAAAAAUGUGAUGAUGACUUCUCAUGAUGCCUUUAUGGUAGGAAUAUUAAUUUAUUUACCUUGAUACAUAUAUCCUGCAAAUAUUGAGAAAAGAUAUAGGCAUAGACCAAAUGGGAUACUUGGAAUUAAAUUUGUCAUCUUAUGGCUUUUGGAUAGUUCAUUUUAUGAUAACUGGUAGCCAUCACGUACAAAUUAGCGGGCUUAUAGAAAAUUGCAUUUGGCUGACAUUUUGAGUUGGUUUUCUUGGAUACUAAUAGUGUCUUAUAAAAAACUCAUUUGGAUGAAAAGCUACUUUUUUUCUCAAAAAGCAAUUCUCGCAUAGCUAAUACUGUAAGACUGUAAAUCCCCAGUCCUUAAGCGCUGUGUUGAACACUAUAAAGCCAACCCACAUCUUUUUUGCUCCCAUCCAUCUUCAUUGAGAAGGCACCAAUAUCCAUCCUAGCACUUGUUAUUUCCUCUGUUGUUAUCCUGGAUAAAUUAGUGGCUAACAAAAUGGUUAUGGUGCACCAUCUAGUAUUUAAAGGCUUGAAAAUUGGGCUCCACCUGCUUCAGCUAUGCUUAGUCUUUGACUAAAGCAGAGUUUUGACUACCCCAUCAUUAUUAACAAUAACGCAUUGGGUCCCCCCCCCUUCCCCUCCUCCUGAAAAAAAGAAUAAAUAAAAGAACUUAAAUCUCUGUUAGCAACGGCUACAUCACUAUGUUGUUGCUUAGUAUGCUAGCCAAAAUCCUGCCAUUUGACUUGUGCCAGACAUAGGUUAUGUUGGUGCAGUGGAGAUAAAGCAUGGAGGGAGAAUGCCAGAUGGCAGUUAUGCACAUAAAAUAUCUACUUAGAGAAUUUAUAGGAUCGUCAUUCUGCUACAUGAAUUAAAAUAUAGUUUAGCUGAAGGGUUAAAUACAUAAAGAUAAGAGGGACACUGCUGGGAGACGUUGGGCAUGUUAGAGUUCCCAGAUAAUGGGAGAUCAGAAAUUUUCUUUAUUCUAUAUAGAUGAUUAACUAAGGCUGAUUGCUGAACCAGAGGUGUUAAAUGGUUGAACCAUCUGGUUCAACAGCUUUGAAAGGCUUUUCCAAAAGUUUGGGUCCUGAUCUGACCUGACCUGAGUAUGCUAAUGGGUGACAGGUUGAACAGGUGGACCCUUUGACUUAAAAAGGUUUUAGAAAAUCAGUAUGUGAAAUAGGUGAACAAAUGCAGCUAGUGCAGGGUGUACGUCAGGCUGUCACUCAGACCCCCAUGACAUCUUGUGUUGCCUUCUACUUAAAGGUUCUGUUAUCAUUAUCCCAUGUCUGGCCAUCAUAUACUAUCAUGAUCGCUUUUUUCUUGUUUUGCUCUACCUUUUCACUUGCUGACCCGUUUGGUACCUGGACUAUACCUGACCUAGAGACUUAAUGAGUCUAACAAUUUUAUAUCUAACUGGAUUCAACCUGACCACUAAUUGAUAAAUGGGUAGGUUAUGGAUCAAAUUUAGCUCUGAAUAUCCUAGUGGAUUUGGGUCCAAUUGGUGGUACCGGAACACAACACCCUAAUAACACCCUUAGGUGUAUGUAUAUUUAUGUUUUCAAUAAUAUAUUUUUAUCAAACAAUUCAUUGAUAUAUCAAAAUUAAUUUAACACGUGAGAUGAUAUUUUC
This 2208-nucleotide long non-coding RNA is filed under the name Phoenix dactylifera (date palm). Its description in RNAcentral is "long non-coding RNA (PDAC_LNC001663)". Lineage: Eukaryota; Viridiplantae; Streptophyta; Magnoliopsida; Arecales; Arecaceae. The record is from RNAcentral.